CGUACUCUAGAGAACGACUUUUUCACCCAGCGUAUGAACCUCUGCCAGUCGUCUAUUACGAGCCAUAUCCCAGGCCAAUGCCAAUGCUACAUCCUGGCAAAGGACCGAUGAUAAGGCCCUUAAUUCGUCCCGGUCCUCCGCAACCGAUGCACUUGCCCUACCCGCCAAGAUUUCUCGGCCCUCAAGAUUUAUACGGAAGCAUGAGACCGCCUUACCCAAGAUUUCCGUGAG
This is a long non-coding RNA of Copidosoma floridanum, 231 nucleotides long. The record is from RefSeq and is a predicted model, not a curated record. Lineage: Eukaryota; Metazoa; Arthropoda; Insecta; Hymenoptera; Encyrtidae.